RNAcentral lists this long non-coding RNA (435 nucleotides) under Homo sapiens (human). Its description in RNAcentral is "LHRI_LNC661.1". Lineage: Eukaryota; Metazoa; Chordata; Mammalia; Primates; Hominidae. The record is from RNAcentral.
GCAGCUGGCUGCAGUUCCCCAGGAAACAGCUUCCGGCAGACACUCAAUCUCCAGUUGUAACAGGUGGUGUGGAGUCCGCUGUCCCAGGGAGUGGGCUCAAGGCCUAGUCCUGCCAAUGAACUUGCUGUAGAAACUUUUCUGUCUAUCAAAUGAGGUUGGAAUGCACUGGUGCAAUAAUUGCUCACUGCAGCCAUGACCUCCCAUGCUCAAGCAAUCCUCCCACCUCAGCCUCCCACGUAGCUGGGACUACAGCUUCUCCAUUUCCACCUUUGCAAACUCUGGACUCCAAGGACGCAAGAUGGCCGGAAACAAGAUGGUGGAGCAUGAAGGCCCUUGCCAGAUGACAGCACUAUGCCCUUGGACUCCCCAGCCUCCAUAACCAUGGGCCAAAUAAACUUCUAUUGUUUUAAAUUGCCCAGUCUGUGGUAUUCUAUC